GCUGGGUGUAUAAUCUAUGCUACCAGGGAGGCAAAGGCUAGUGGAUCUCUUGAGCUCUGGAGUUCUGUGAUGCAGUAAGCUAAGCCCAUCAGAUGUCCACAUUAAGCACAGCACCAAUAUGAUGAUUCCCCUAGGAGUGGAAGGAGUGAGUACUAGGUUGCCUAAGGAGGACCAAACUGGCCCAGGUCAGAAACAGAACAGGUCAAAGCUCCCAUGCUGAUCAAUAGUGGGGUCACCCAUGAGUGAUUCUUAUACUUCUACUUUUAGUGAGCUAGGAAGACCCAGUCUCA
This 290-nucleotide signal recognition particle RNA is filed under the name Phascolarctos cinereus (koala). RNAcentral describes it as "Metazoan signal recognition particle RNA (ENSPCIG00000007243.2)". It matches the Rfam family "Metazoan signal recognition particle RNA". Rfam says of the family: The signal recognition particle (SRP) is a universally conserved ribonucleoprotein. The record is from RNAcentral. Lineage: Eukaryota; Metazoa; Chordata; Mammalia; Diprotodontia; Phascolarctidae.